AGCGUGGAGACAGGUGGUGCAUGGCUGUCGUCAGCUCGUGUCGUGAGAUGUUGGGUUAAGUCCCGCAACGAGCGCAACCCUCACCCCUUGUUGCCACCAGGUCAGGCUGGGCACUCUAGGGGAACUGCCCCGGUCAACGGGGAGGAAGGUGGGGAUGACGUCAAGUCAUCAUGCCCCUUACGUCCUGGGCUACACACGUGCUACAAUGGCCGGUACAAAGGGAUGCAAGACUGCGAGGUGGAGCCAAACCCAAAAAGCCGGCCUAAGUUCAGAUUGGAGUCUGCAACUCGACUCCAUGAAGGAGGAAUCGCUAGUAAUCGCGCAUCAGCACGGCGCGGUGAAUACGUUCCCGGGCCUUGUACACACCGCCCGUCACACCACGAAAGCCAGCUGUACUCGAAGUCGCUGAG
Molecule: ribosomal RNA, 410 nt
Filed under: uncultured Methylomirabilota bacterium
Lineage: Bacteria; Methylomirabilota (SeqCode)
Description: bacterial SSU rRNA
Rfam family: Bacterial small subunit ribosomal RNA
Source: RNAcentral